Long non-coding RNA from Boleophthalmus pectinirostris (great blue-spotted mudskipper), 1231 nucleotides. RefSeq lists it as uncharacterized. NCBI's taxonomy places the organism in Eukaryota, Metazoa, Chordata, Actinopteri, Gobiiformes, Gobiidae. The record is from RefSeq and is a predicted model, not a curated record. The transcript is spliced from 5 exons.
CCCAGUCUAGAUGAACAAUACACCAGGAGCUCCUUCAACAGAAAUUCGACCGUGUAGUUUUAUUAUAGUUCUAUUUGUAGUUUUCUCUAAUAAAGCUCUUGAUGAAUGAUGAAUACGGUUUCAGAGCGGGACAGACUGAGGUUAUUGUUACAAUGUAAUCCAGCCAGUGCGGUCUGCGCCCCGCUCCAUCUAACACGCCUCCACAUGGACAUGCACACACAUUCAAUUUUACUGAAAUAAGAAAAUUGUCCAGCUCCAGUGUGCCACUCGCUCACCACACUACAGAUUAAUAUCCACUCUAAUGAGCAACAUCCUAAAGAUCACACUAUGGAACAUAUUGGCCCCAUCUACCAGAGUGGAGGCCCAUGAUGGGCAUGGCAGCCUUGAAUUUUAAUCCACCCAUCUAUUGGACUUCAUCUAAAAGCAGAGAUGGUUUCCUCAGGCUUCUUCCUCAAGGGUGUGUCCUCCUGUAUGUCUAUGAAUCACUGAUUUCAUCAGUCUCUCUUGCUCAUAUGGCCCCUCCCCCAUCACCAUUGCACCUCAGUCCCUGGGGCCGUUUGUCUGGGAUCUGCCAGGCUCAUCAGUGGAGGAGAGGAGAAGGCUAACUGGGAGGCAGUCCUGGCUGUAAAUCUGACCAGAGGGAGUGAAUCCUGCAAUGGACACACUUCAGACAGCCCAGUUACAAGACCCUCCAACAUGCAGAGGCAAACAUUCCAGUAUGAACAGCACUGCGGCUCAAGUGUUCACCCCCAAACACCUUUACACAAAUUAGCCAAACUUGUAUGAACCUGAGCUUCAACAACAAUUUAUGAUUUUUUUUAAAAUAAUUCCUUCACAUAAUAAAAUGAUCAAGAACAUAUAUUUUCAAAAGUUAUAGCACAAUUACAACUCGGAAUUGGAAAUAAGGAACAAUUCAUAUUCAAGUGCAGAAUAAAAAGAUGCAGAUGCUGUGUUUAGGACUACACCGCAGUGGGGUGGGACCUUGCCUCUCAUACUUACAUUUCGCCGCAUGUGAUACUAUUGCAUACACAUAGGCAUGCACCCUCCCUCUCCUUAUUUGAGAAAUAAGCAUUUUUACAGAGUUUGAGCUGUAAAAGGAGAGGAGCAGAUAGCCCAUAAAUCUAGCCAUAAAAAACGUUAAGUUGUCAGAGGUGCCAUCAGCUAUCAAUCGUGUGCGGCAAGCUGAUGAAGGGGAAAUAGGUGAUAAAAAACAGCAUUUUAGGGAAAUUAU